CUACAAAAGUCUGGUCCCGGCUUUAUUAUCAACCACAAUUAAUUUUACACAUGCAAGCCUCCACACACCAGUGAAAACCCCCUUAUAUUAUUAUAUAAGGACUUGAUAUCAGGCACAACAAUAGUUAGCCACCAACAUCUAGUACAACCACACCCCCAAGGGCAAACAGCAGUGAUAAACAUUGUCAUAUAAGCACCAGCUUGAUGCAGAUAUAGUUUUUAGGGUUGGUCAAUCUUUGUGCCAGCCACCGCGGUUAUACAAGAAACCCAAGUUGAUAAAAUUACGGCGUAAAGCGUGACUAGGAAAUAAUCAAAUUACUUAAGACUAAAAACUUACUAAGCCGUCAUACGCAUAGUAUACUUGAUAUACAACAACGAAAAUGAUCUUAACAUUAACGACAUCUCUAACCUCACUACCGCUAGAAAACAAACUGGGAUUAGAUACCCCACUAUGCUCAGCCACAAAGCUUGAAUACUUACAUUAACUUCCGCCAGAACACUACGAGCAACUGCUUAAAACUCAAGAGACUUGGCGGUGCCCCAAACCCACCCAGAGGAGCCUGUUCUAUAAUCGAUAACCCACGCUGAACCUCACCACCCCUAGCAAACAGCCUAUAUACCACCGUCUCCAGUUUGCCUCAUGAGGGCACGAAAGCCAACAAGAAUGACACACUCAAAUAAGACAGGUCAAGGUGUAGCAUAUGGGUUGGGAAGAAAUGGGCUACAUUUUCUAUAAAGAACACGAAUAAUAUUAUGAAAACCAUAUUUGAAGCCGGAUUUGACAGUAAGAUUGGAUAAGUUUACCAACCUAAAAUCGGCCCUGGGGCGCGCACACACCGCCCGUCACCCUCAUCAAAAUAACACAAAAAUAAAUAGAUAAUAACACACCAGUUAUAACAGACGAGGAAAGUCGUAACACGGUAAGCGCACUGGAAAGUGCUCUUGGAUUGAU
Molecule: non-coding RNA, 951 nt
Filed under: Microcaecilia sp. PZ-2009
Lineage: Eukaryota; Metazoa; Chordata; Amphibia; Gymnophiona; Siphonopidae
Source: RNAcentral